UUUAAAUUGUGCAGUUAAAAUUAUUGCAUUUCAUCUUUUCUGUUAGUAUUAGUGUACUUUUAACCUUUUAGUGGGUGCUCUCAUUUACAAAAAUAUUUUAAACUGAGGCCAGCACUGUGGCACAAGGGGUUAAAGCCCUGGCCUGAAGUGUCGGCAUCCCAGGUGGGUACCGGUUCUAGUCCUGGCUGCUCUACUUCUGCUCCAGUUCUCUGCUAUGGCCUGAGAAAGCAGUAGAAGAUGGCCCAAGUCCUUGGGUCUCUGCACCCACAUGGGAGACUAGAAGAAGCUCCUGGCUUCUGAUUUCGGAUCAGCACAGCUCCAGCUGUUGCAGCCAUUUGGGGAGUGAAACAGUGGGUAAAAGACCGCUCUAUCUCUGUCUCUACCUCUCUCUGUAACUCUGUCUUUCAGAAAAAUAAAAAUAAAUCUUAAAAAAUUAAAGUAAUAUAGAUCAAGCUUCAAAUAACACUAUGCUGCUUCAUAAUUAAUAAAAGUAGUUUAUAAUAGAGUAUUCUCAGAAUGUUUUGGCCUGUUAUUAUUUUGCUGUAAUUAAUUUUAUAUAUCAUAAAUCCCUAGUACAUUGUUACUAUUAUGACUUUAUGUACAUAGUAUUAAGAGAAUGAAAAUAAAAAUUUAUUUUGUCUUUAUUCCAAAGCGAAUUCUCUUCAUGUAAAUGUGGUUUUCUGAUCUAUGCUAUUUUCCUUCUUUCUACAUUCUUUGUCAUUUCUUGUUAGACAGGUAUGACAGCACUAGGUGAUCUUAUUGCUUUGCAUGUGUAACAGAGAGAAUUUCUCUACUUUUGAAAAAUAAUCUGGUUGCAUAUAGAAUUCUAGUUUAGCCUAUUUUUUUUUCUGUUAGUACUUCAAAUAUUUCACUCCAGUUUCUUCUGCCUUCUGUAGUUUCUGACAAAAGAUUGCUGGAAUUCUUAUCCUUAAUCUUGCAUAGGUAUGGUGCUGGCUUUCUCUAGCUUCUUUCCUAGAUUUCUAGCUUUCUUUGGCUUUCUGUAAUCUGAAUGUGAUAUUCUUAGUUCCAUACAUUUUAGGAAUUCUCCCUUUUUGUGGUAGGUCUGAGUUCUGUGAUAUGGCAGUAAUGGGGAAAGGCAAAAGCACAGAGUGCAUUCUGCCACAAGUAUGAGCUGAUAAAUCUGCACUACGUCCCGCCUGACCCACCUGCAAUACUCAGUCAUCCUCUGAUCUGCAGCUUGCAGCAGCUGCAGAGCUAACAGAACUGGAAAGUCCUUCCCGAACUUGCCCUACACACUGUCAGCCUGUGAGAGAGGUCUGUCGCCUCCGUGUCUGAGGAUUCCUCUCUGAUAAACCUGUCCCAGCUCUUGAGUUGUUUCUCUCCUCUUCUGAGUCUGUCAGCACCACAUAUUAUUUCUAACAGACAAUUUUUAUUAAUUUUGGGAAAACAUUGGCUAUCAUUAGUUUAGAUAUUUCUUAUGUUCUCUUUUGUCUUUUUGUUUUCUCCAAGUAUGCAAGUGUUUCAAAACAUAAAUAUGUUAUAAGUAGCACCCUUUAAAAUUGCAUCUCAGUCUAUGGUAAUUCUGCUAAUUAAAAUACUCCCCCCCUUUAAAAAUUCCAAAGUUUCCAUCAGCUUAACUUCAAGUUCAUUUUUUUUUACCUCAGUAGCAGUUAUUCUUUUGAGGAUGCCAUCAAACACAUUAUUCAUUUUUGUUACAACGUUUUCCAUUUAAAACGUGUGCUUUGAUUUUCUUUUAUAACUACCAGCUCUCUCUUUAAACUGCCCAUCUAGUCUUGCACAAUACGUACUUCUAAACUUUGUUUCUUUAGCUGUUAAUGCAUUCAUCAUAUUUUAAAUCCUAAUCUGAUGAUUCCAAAAUAUCUCAUUUAUUGGUGUGAUUCUUUUUUUUUAAGAUUUAUUUAUUUAUUUGAAAGUCGGAGUUACACGCACACACACACACACACACACAGAGCGAGAGAGAGAGAAAGAAAGGAAGAAAGAGAGAGAGAGAGAGAGAGAGAGAGAGAAGUCUUCCAUCUGCUGGUUCACUCCCCAGAAGGCUGCAAUGGCCGGAGCUGCGCUGAUCUGAAGCCAGGAGCCAGGAGCUUCUUCUGGGUCUCCCACAUGGGUGCGGGAGCCCAAGAACGUGGGCCAUCUUCUACUGCUUUCCCAGGCCAUAGCAGAGAGCUCAAUGGGAAGUGGGGCAGCUGGGACUCUAACCAGCGCCCAUAUGGGAUGUCAACACUGCCAGCGACAGCUUUACCUGCUAUGUCACAGCGCGGGCCCCAAGUCUUUCAGUCUUAAUCCUAUCAUAUUGGAGUUCCUUUCUGUGGAGGUAAGUUGUGGAGAAAGGGAAACUUUAGCUAACCUUAUAAUUAAAAAUCAGUCUUUUUGUGGACCCAUAUCCUUUGGCUAUGAUUUCACAAGAAUUUUGUUAGCUCCUUUCCUUUGAAAUGAAACGGUAAGUAUUGAAGGGAUUGUAGUUUAAGAAAUUCCCUUUCCCUAAGAAGUCUAAUACUCUGUGAAAGUCUUCCACCUUGUGGAGUAGACUCUUACUUUGAAACAUUCUGAAUAUUUUUUGUUGUGGUCAAGGUUCUUCCACACCUAUCUCUACCGGACACGGAUCUUUCCUGACUCUUCAUUGUGAGGAUUUAAUGGUAUUCUGUGGUUACACAGGAAUGUGUUCCCACCCGUAAAGCUGUAGCACCAAGGUAUUUUUCAUUCUCAAGUUAUUCUACAUUUAUCUUCUGACAAUUUGCCAAAACUAUCAUAUUAAUUUUAAUACCAAUUUAUGGAUCCAGUAGCGUUUGCUCUAAGGAAGUAGAUCUUAGUUGUGAACAUUUUCAUCUGCCUUUCUCUUUUGAUUUGUGGGGAAGUGUGCAAUUUGUGCAGAGGCUCAGCUUUAUCUGUUUGUAAGUAAGACCUCCUCCCCAGAAAUAUCACAACUUGUGACAGGUUGACUGAGAUAUUGCUGUGGACGAAUGGAGAAUACUUUAGUUUUCAUCAUAUGUUUUUUGAAGUAUGAGUUGUAUCAUUAUGUAUGAAUGUGAACUUUAACUUUGGAUAGACUUAACUUCAAUAACUUGGUGUAGGGCAAUGUUAUCAUUUUAUGACUUGGUCAUUAUAAAAGCAGGACUUAGUCACCUCUGGCUGUUUCUACUUACAUGCCUAUUCCUGGUUGCUCCUUGUAAUGCAUCAGGUACUUGUCUUACACCGCCACUGGUGACUAGUCCAGGCCUUUACAGCUAGCUAUAACCUAUCUGACUUGCCCCACUGAACCCAUCACCCUGCACUGCAGUGAUCCAUCUCUGUUGCAUUGUGCCUCCAUGUAGCUCAGAGCUAUUUUACACUCAUCAAUCGGAACACCCCAGAGAAGUUGCUUAAGUAACACUCUGGACCUCAGUGAAGACUGGUUUUUAGGUUCUUUAAUUUCUCUGAUUGAUUAUGCAUUUGUUGGACAGCGUCCUCCCCACCCCACGCACCCAUAUUUCCUGAUGACCCUGUGAGGCAGGCUGCCCUGUUCUCUCCUGAAUUUAUGAGUUAUACAAUUUAUUUCCAUGAUUUCUGUGCUUUGUGAUGUUGGCUGCUCUGUAUCUCACUUGACUGACACAUCUGAACCUAAUCUCCAAGUCAACACCCUCCAGGAUGGUAGCUAUCUUUGUAAGAAUAAUCAGAACAACAAUCAAGCAAGAGUCCAAAGAACAUCUAUUAGUAGAAAUAUGUUCUCAGUGAAAGGGGACACCUGGCUAUGGACCAAGUACUUGACACCAUGCUGUUCAAGAGCGAAAUGAAGUACACCAGGAAAGGCACAUGCUUGCCAUCCAUAACCGCCUUCCCUGUAGCUCUCUCAGGAGAAGGCUAAAGUUCAUAGCCACACUGGAAGACAUCAAAACCAAAUUAGAAAUAAAUCAAAACACAAGGUAAGACUAUUGUGUUAAAUAACCUAAAAGUCACUUCAAUGUGGGAUAUUGUUAGCUUCCUUCUACAGAAAAUUUAUAACUUAGCAUGUUUGAGUCUUUUAUAUGUUCGUUAUUUAUUAUCACUAAAUAUUCAAAUAUAAUUAUAGCAAUCAAUUUUUACUCUUGAGCUAGUUAAACAUUGCUUUUCUGAUGCUGUGAAAGAAUGGCUUUUAUUACAUGUGGUUUAAAAUAUUCAGGGAAUGAAAUAAUACUUGCACAAAACAUUAAUUAUUAGAUCUCUGGGACAUAUUUUCUAAGAGUACUUUCUGUUACAAAGAAUUUUGUAGAAAUGAAAGUGAUAGUUUUCUACAUCUGCUGCAACUCUUCUCGGCAAGAAGUUCCAGAAACUAUUUUCUGCGUUUCUAAAUAUGAACACUGUAGCCAGUAAACAUUUUAUUCUUUGAUGUGUUCAGGUGUCUGUGGUUUAUCUUCUUGAAAUUUGGAAUUUCAAAUUUGGCAACUGAUUCCCUUUUCUCCUGGAAACUUAAAGUAUGACCAUUAAAAAGAAUGGCUUGGUUUCCUUACUUGAAAAAUAAUGCUUUCAAUUAAAAUAAAGUAUUACAUUUGAAAUGGUUUGAUCUUUUCACUCAAGCAGCAUUAAAUUAAAGACCCACCCCAUUUAUCAUAUAAAAUAUAGUUUGUUCCAAGUUUAAAUUUAUUGCUAUUCCUUCUUGUCCCAUGUGACUAUUUUUUUCAGGAACUUUGAAAAGACAAUUCUCUACUUUAAAGCAUAAAUGUCCCUGUAAUGUGGACAUCUGCACUCAGUUUUUUGCCAAGCAUUCUUACCAAUGUUCAGGAAAACUCUCCGAGAUACAGUGGAAGAGUUGGACGAUACACCAUAGCUAGAGAUCUCUGCUUUUUGUUAAAUGUCUUUGACUAUGAUAUCAUUGAAUUCAGUCAUUGUUUUUCAUGAUAGAUUGUGGUGCAUUGUCACCCUUAAUAUUCUUUUUUGUGGUUGAAUGUCUCCAUGGGUCAUGAAUUGGAUAGUAAGAUCCAGACAGUCUGACUCCAGAAAAGUAGAAAGCUUUUAUGAAAGGAUUUCUAUUUACUGCAAGGAUUUCUAUUUGUGCAUGAUAGCCAAAUAAGAAAAUACAGUCAGCAAGAAAUAACAGUGGAUAAGGUUAAUAGCAUAUUGCACUAGACACACAUAGAAUGCUGUUGUUCAAAUAAUGUUGUACUUUAAUAAUGCAAAGAAAAACAAACAUGCACAUCCAAUUGUUCACUUAUAGGUAAGAUAAAUAAAAAUAUGCAGAAAGUAAUCUAAGAGGACAUUUUGUCAUAAAAAUAUAACUAUUCUCAAAUUCUCAGCUCCUAUAGAUCAAUUACAUGGAUUAAAUAAGCAUUUCAGAUAUGAUGUGAAUUAAUGUGACGUACUUGGUUGAGAAGGAAUUGAGCAUCAUUGUGUUAACCAAGGUAGAAACAUCACAAAGUUUAGAGAUCUUUUUAAUUAAUUAAUGCUGCUUUUGACUCAUCACAUGUACACUUUUUAUCUUUAUACACAUAGCUUACAUUUUCCAUUACAACAAAUACUUGUUUCUAUGUUGGUAGUCAGUAUUAAGGAAAUUCUUAGAAAAUACUUAGUUUCAUAAGGUGUUGGUUUCUAGAAAAAACACAUUUAAUCAUCUGAGACAAUAAAACAAAUUCAUUUGAAGUCUGAAUUAGUGUCAUAUUGCAUUGUGUCAUGCUACACACUGUAUUAAUAGCUAUGUGUGAGAGGAACUGAAGUAGUCUAUCCGGCAAAAUUCCACUAACAGUCAUUGCUUCUGCAUUUUGUUCCAAAAACUUCACUUCAAAAUACCCUAAAUUUCUGAACGAUAUUCUUUGAAAUACAUUAUUGUUGUAUAAAUUAACUAUAAUAUUUUAGCAUACUUAAUUUAAAGUAGUCUAGAAAUUUUCUCAUAUCUAUAAUCAGCUUCCUUCACCUCUUUCCUGGAAAGCACUGUGUUAGUGUUCUCCACAGAAAGAUUCAAUUAUGUGUGUGUAUGUGUUUAUACAUACAUAUAUACAUAUAUGUAGAGAGAUAUAUAGAUAUGUUUAUUAAAGAAGUGGUACACAAGAUUAAGCACGUUGACAAGUCUGAAAUGUGUGGGGUAAACCUGCAGAAAAAAACACCCUUACAGAAAAAUCAAGAAUGAUAUUUGAUCAAAUAUCUGGACUCUGUGUCCUAGCCAUGUUGAUAUAUACACAAGAAAUUACUUUUACAAAUACAUUUGUAUAUUUUAUUUGUACUAAAGGAAAAUGACUGUAGCAACCAAUGUAUUCAUUAGUUGUAAGAAAUGUGAGGUAGAUUAGAAAUAAUAAACUGCUAUAAUUGUUCCCAUUUUUCCAUACAACAUAAUGUAGAUGUAGCUUAUCUCUCAUUUCAUGCGAGAUGGCAUAUGUAAGUUCUUUUUAAAACUUAUGAAGUGCAAAAAAAGAUUAGAUAAAGUACACUUAGGUAAUAGUCAUUAUUGCCUAGUUUUUAGUGCAACUUCUUAUGCUUAUGUAAGUUGCUUUAUCACACAAACUCCAGCCAACUCUUAUUUCUCUUCCUAGAUAAACUGUGUGUUGCCAUUCACCUUUAACUCAUUUUGAUUAUGGUAGAAGUUGGUGAACUAUUCCUCAAAUAAUACUUUGACAAGAAGAGAAAUAAUUUGGAUAAAUUUGUACAGUCUAAGAUGAUAUAUAAUCCAAAAGCCUUGCCAUUUAACAGCAUCAUAGGAAUUUGCUAGAAACUCAACCCCCUUCAAAAGCUCAACUCAAAUUUCUGGCUCAAACUGUACUGACCCAAAGCUUUCACUUCCAUCUGUCCUAAAACACACUUAAAUGGAAAGAACAAAAGAAACGACUGAUGAACCAUAAGCUCCCUGGAAGUAGGAAAGCACAUCGCCAAUACCCUGUCUUUAAGAGCGCAAAUCUCCACCAAAGACUAGAGGAGUAUUCACCCAGGUGACACUGCAAGCCCUAGCACCAUAGGGGCUGAUGAGAGCAAUAGGGAGGACACUGCUUCUCUAAGGAUUCUCAGAAGUUGGCCAGAGCUGGAAAGCAGAGACAGGCAUGGGAAGAACUUAGACGAGUUAACUGAACAAAUAUGGAAACCUCGACUUGGAUUGCACUUAGUGCUCAGCCCAUUCCUCUUUAUGUCACUAAUAGCUAAAUAAAUUAAGUAGGGAUAUUA
Molecule: non-coding RNA, 7077 nt
Organism: Oryctolagus cuniculus (rabbit)
Lineage: Eukaryota; Metazoa; Chordata; Mammalia; Lagomorpha; Leporidae
Source: RefSeq, a predicted model, not a curated record